CCUACGGGCGGCAGCAGUGGGGAAUAUUGGACAAUGGGGGGAACCCUGAUCCAGCGACGCCGCGUGAGUGAAGAAGUAUUUCGGUAUGUAAAGCUCUAUCAGCAGGGAAGAAAGAAAUGACGGUACCUGACUAAGAAGCCCCGGCUAACUACGUGCCAGCAGCCGCGGUAAUACGUAGGGGGCAAGCGUUAUCCGGAUUUACUGGUUGUAAAGGGGGCGUAGACGGCGAUGCAAGUCUGAAGUGAAAGGCGGGGGCCCAACCCCUGGACUGCUUUGGAAACUGUAUGGCUGGAGUGCAGGAGAGGUAAGUGGAAUUCCUAGUGUAGCGGUGAAAUGCGUAGAUAUUAGGAGGAACACCAGUGGCGAAGGCGGCUUACUGGACUGUAACUGACGUUGAGGCUCGAAAGCGUGGGGAGCAAACAGGAUUAGAUACCUGAGUAGUC
This 443-nucleotide ribosomal RNA is filed under the name uncultured bacterium. RNAcentral describes it as "partial 16S ribosomal RNA". It matches the Rfam family "Bacterial small subunit ribosomal RNA", at positions 338 to 795 of the family's 1533-position model. The record is from RNAcentral.